RNAcentral lists this small RNA (122 nucleotides) under Olea europaea subsp. europaea. The record is from RNAcentral. Lineage: Eukaryota; Viridiplantae; Streptophyta; Magnoliopsida; Lamiales; Oleaceae.
CUUCGCGCUGUUGAAAAUAGCGGCUGUGAUGCCGCUGCACAGCAGCGGCAUCACAGCCGCUGCUUAAGCGCCCGCAGGCGCCGCUGCAGCCUGCAGCGGCGCCUGCUGCUGCCGCUGCCGAC